CCUACGGGUUGCAGCAGGCGCGAAAACUUUACAAUGCGGGAAACCGUGAUAAGGGGAUCUCGAGUGCCAGCAUAUAAUGUUGGCUGUCCAGAUGCCUAAAAAGCAUCUGUUAGCAAGGGCCGGGCAAGACCGGUGCCAGCCGCCGCGGUAACACCGGCGGCCCGAGUGGUAACCGCUAUUAUUGGGUCUAAAGGGUCUGUAGCCGGCCAGGUAAGUCCCUUGGGAAAUCUGGCAGCUCAACUGUCAGGCUGCUAGGGGAUACUGUUUGGCUUGGGACCGGGAGAGGUGAGAGGUACCUUGGGGGUAGGGGUGAAAUCUUGUGAUCCUCGAGGGACCACCAGUGGCGAAGGCGUCUCACCAGAACGGGUCCGACGGUAAGGGACGAAAGCUAGGGGCACGAACCGGAUUAGAUACCCUAGUAGUC
RNAcentral lists this ribosomal RNA (424 nucleotides) under uncultured bacterium. Its description in RNAcentral is "bacterial SSU rRNA". It matches the Rfam family "Archaeal small subunit ribosomal RNA", at positions 322 to 746 of the family's 1478-position model. The record is from RNAcentral.